This 58-nucleotide small RNA is filed under the name Panthera pardus (leopard). RNAcentral describes it as "7SK RNA (ENSPPRG00000017533.1)". It matches the Rfam family "7SK RNA", at positions 274 to 331 of the family's 331-position model. From Rfam's summary of the family: 7SK was discovered as an abundant small nuclear RNA in the mid-70s but a possible function has only recently been suggested. The record is from RNAcentral. Lineage: Eukaryota; Metazoa; Chordata; Mammalia; Carnivora; Felidae.
UUCCAAGACUCCAGACACAUCCAAAUGAGGCGCUGCACGUGGCAGUCUGCCUUUCUUC